CUUUGUGGAGUCUUUCCUGUGAGCCUAGAUCUUCAGAGAUGGAGCUUCUUUCUAAGGAACUAGAGGAGACGUGAAGAAUUUAAGUGUUUGCAACUGAAAAAGCUUCAGGAUGAAAUACUGGUGGUGAACAUCAAGAAAAACACACAUAGAAAAUCAGAACCCUCACAGAUAACCUAUAGGGUAAUAAAUGCAUAACAGAGACACUGUAGUGGCUGGGUACUGAUUUUUCAUUCCUUUUUCUAUUUUUCUGUGUUAAUAUAGUGGAACAGAAUCUGUCCUUUUAAAGAAGUCUUUUGUGGCUUAUCUUCUACUUUAAAAAAAUAAAAAAUAAAAAAAAUCCAAACAUAUUGUUUGGGAACUAUGCAUGUUUCAGCUUUCAAAAUACAAUGUUUGCAGCACUGGAAUCGGUAGUAAAUGUCUUAUUAGCUUUUAAAGGACCAUAACUCUGGUUUCAUUGACUUUGUGGUGUUUGUCAGGUUGUAGGCUUCAUUGCCUUUUCUUGCAGAAAACAUGAAAUGGAUCAAACACGUCAUUUGAUCAAGGUUAAAAUGUUAUGCAGCUUUUUUGUAUAUAAAAUAAAUAUGCAUUGACUUCUGAUUUUUUCCACACAUAGACCAUAACAUCACUCCAUAGAAUAUUUACAAAAUACUCCUUGCUCAAUAUUGUAACAAUUACAGAAAUUGUAUUGUAACUAUAGUAGGGAAAAACUCAACUGGAUCAUAAAUUGAGUGACUUUGUUUACUUGAGCAGUCCCUGAGCAAAUUGUAGUCCAUGAAGGAAAAAAAAAAUCCAUAAUUUCAAGCCAUUUUGCACAAAUCUCAACCCUAGGAGAGGAAGAUUAAGGUACGGAAAGAUUCCCUACCUUGAUACUAGAGAAGACUCACUUGUUUUCCCUUUGCUUACCAUCAUUAGCUUGGAACUGCGGGCUGUAUUAUUGAGUUAUUCUGUAUCUCUCAUAGAUUAUAUUAAAUCUCCAUGCUGCAAAGCAUUGUACAAACUGGAUUUUGUGUUGCACAGAUAGGUCUUAUUAUUGUACUUACCAAGUUUGUAUGGCUGGACCACAUAUGCAAUGCUUAGAGAAACAAAUAUAAACCUGACCCUUAAUCUUUAGUAUGUGGUGUAGGUCCAUUCCCUAUGGUCUUGUGAACAGGCCUGAUGAGCUGAGGCGUUCUGAUCUUUGAUAAUAGGACUUUUUCUAAAAUAAAUAUGCAGUAUUCAUCUAUAUUCUAAUGAUGGUUUCUUCUCAAGCAGAUCUAUACUUUUUAAUCAAACUGGGGAGUAUCUUUUAUAGUAAGAGAAACAGGGUCUUUCAGAUGUUGUGUAUUCUACAAACACCUAUUUCCAAGUAUGUAGAAACAAAUCUACCUAUAUUCUAACAAAAAGGGGGAACAUUGACUUGUAUACUACUAAAUUACUUCUGAACCUCCCAGAUUUUGCUGCUUUUAGAAUGUAUGCAUAUCCUCAUUUUCAGUUUUUUCUUAAAAGUGACUGAAUAUUGAAUGUCUUAAGCUUUUGAAAUUGUUAAAUUUCUUGUCCUAUGACCCUGUAAUUGCAGUUUUGGGAAGACAGGAGCAAAAGCUAAAUGCUUUAUUUGAUUUUGCUUCUUCUGUAAGCAUUAGAAAACAAAUGUUAGUCAAAUGUCUUAAUACACAGUAGAAGAGACGAUGUAAUGUGGGUUCUGAGACCACUGUGAUGAGGUCAGUGUAAAAUGAGCCAAAUAACAGGAAAGCGUGUUGUCAGUAACUGCAAAUGAAAAAGUUUAUAUCUUGUAUUGAGCAGUUCACG
This 1785-nucleotide long non-coding RNA is filed under the name Gallus gallus (chicken). RNAcentral's name for it is "lncRNA (ENSGALG00010023763.1)". Lineage: Eukaryota; Metazoa; Chordata; Aves; Galliformes; Phasianidae. The record is from RNAcentral.